GCGGCGUGCAGUCAUACAUUUUGUAUGUAUAAACUCGAGAUGUUUGCGUAAUGAAAUUGCAUAUUCGUGGAGAUUCACGAGACGUUUCCCGCAAAGACGUAUUAUUGCGAGUAGGUUCGGUGAAAAAUGAAAUAACUGCGUGACGUACCUAUAUUUCCAUUCCGUCGUAGGCAUCUUUUGUUUGAACGCAUCGAUUCCGGGAAAAUAAUCCACCUGUAUACUUUUCGUAUGUGUUGUUUGAAAACGCGAAUUAAUAAGUACGUGAAAAUGGAAUCCGUGUACACGUGAAUGAACAAUAUUUGAACUCGCGCAUACUUAUACGUUAUUAAUGCACGUGAAUACGCAGUGAAAAUACGCGAGAAAUAACGUGAAAUACCUGAAU
Molecule: non-coding RNA, 382 nt
Organism: Cinara cedri
Lineage: Eukaryota; Metazoa; Arthropoda; Insecta; Hemiptera; Aphididae
Source: the annotation of a GenBank genome assembly